Molecule: ribosomal RNA, 734 nt
Filed under: uncultured marine bacterium
Lineage: Bacteria
Description: bacterial SSU rRNA
Rfam family: Bacterial small subunit ribosomal RNA
Source: RNAcentral
CUGGCGGCAGGCCUAACACAUGCAAGUCGAGCGCUCACUUCGGUGGGAGCGGCGGACGGGUUAGUAACGCGUGGGAAUAUGCCCGGUACUAAGGAAUAGCCUUUGGAAACGAAGAGUAAUACCUUAUACGCCCUUCGGGGGAAAGAUUUAUCGGUAUCGGAUUAGCCCGCGUAAGAUUAGAUAGUUGGUGGGGUAAUGGCCUACCAAGUCUACGAUCUUUAGCUGGUUUUAGAGGAUGAUCAGCAACACUGGGACUGAGACACGGCCCAGACUCCUACGGGAGGCAGCAGUGGGGAAUCUUAGACAAUGGGCGCAAGCCUGAUCUAGCCAUGCCGCGUGAGUGAAGAAGGCCUUAGGGUCGUAAAACUCUUUCGCCAGAGAUGAUAAUGACAGUAUCUGGUAAAGAAACCCCGGCUAACUCCGUGCCAGCAGCCGCGGUAAUACGGAGGGGGUUAGCGUUGUUCGGAAUUACUGGGCGUAAAGCGCACGUAGGCGGACUGGAAAGUUGGGGGUGAAAUCCCGGGGCUCAACCUCGGAACUGCCUCCAAAACUAUCAGUCUAGAGUUCGAGAGAGGUGAGUGGAAUUCCAAGUGUAGAGGUGAAAUUCGUAGAUAUUUGGAGGAACACCAGUGGCGAAGGCGGCUCACUGGCUCGAUACUGACGCUGAGUGCGAAAGUGUGGGGAGCAAACAGGAUUAGAUACCCUGGUAGUCCACACCGUAAACGAUGAAUGCC